GACGAACGCUGGCGGCGUGCUUAACACAUGCAAGUCGAACGGUGAAGCGCCUUCCUUUUUGGUGGGUGUGGAUGAGUGGCGAACGGGUGAGUAACACGUGAGUAACCUGCCCCCUUCUUCUGGAUAACCGCAUGAAAGUGUGGCUAAUACGGGAUAUUCUGGGUCUGUCGCAUGAUGGGUCUGGGAAAGAUAUUGUUUCGGUGGGGGAUGGGCUCGCGCCUAUCAGCUUGUUGGUGGGGUGAUGGCCUACCAAGGCGGUGACGGGUAGCCGGCCUGAGAGGGUGGACGGUCACACUGGGACUGAGACACGGCCCAGACUCCUACGGGAGGCAGCAGUGGGGAAUAUUGCACAAUGGGCGCAAGCCUGAUGCAGCGACGCCGCGUGAGGGAUGGAGGCCUUCGGGUUGUGAACCUCUUUCGCCAGUGAAGCAGGCCUGCCUCGUUUGUGGGUGGGUUGACGGUAGCUGGAUAAGAAGCGCCGGCUAACUACGUG
Molecule: ribosomal RNA, 493 nt
Filed under: uncultured bacterium
Lineage: Bacteria
Description: partial 16S ribosomal RNA
Rfam family: Bacterial small subunit ribosomal RNA
Source: RNAcentral